Molecule: ribosomal RNA, 414 nt
Filed under: uncultured Treponema sp.
Lineage: Bacteria; Pseudomonadati; Spirochaetota; Spirochaetia; Treponematales; Treponemataceae
Description: bacterial SSU rRNA
Rfam family: Bacterial small subunit ribosomal RNA
Source: RNAcentral
CUAAGGAAUAUUUCCGGCAAUGGACGAAAGUCUGACGGAGCGACGCCGCGUGGAUGAUGAAGGCCGGAAGGUUGUAAAAUCCUUUUAAGUAUGAGGAAUAAGCAGUGUGAGAGAAACGCAUUGUGGUGACUGUAGUACUUGAAUAAGCAACGGCUAAUUACGUGCCAGCAGCCGCGGUAACACGUAAGUUGCGAGCGUUGUUCGGAAUUAUUGGGCGUAAAGGGCAUGUAGGCGGUUUUGCAAGCUUGGUGUGAAAUGCCGGAGCUUAACUCCGGAACUGCGUUGAGAACUGCAUAACUAGAGUCACUGAGGGGCAAUCAGAAUUCCAGGUGUAGGGGUGAAAUCUGUAGAUAUCUGGAAGAACACCGAUGGCGAAGGCAGGCUGCGAGCGGACGGCUGACGCUGAGGCGCGAA